This 250-nucleotide unclassified non-coding RNA is filed under the name plant metagenome. Its description in RNAcentral is "partial contains small subunit ribosomal RNA, internal transcribed spacer 1, and 5.8S ribosomal RNA". The record is from RNAcentral.
GUAGGUGAACCUGCGGAAGGAUCAUUAACACGUGAUACUCACGUAUUAACCCAUCGCGAAUUUGUUAUCUGUCCCGUGAUCGAAUAUUUGCAGUGGCAAGGGGGGAAGGGUGUGAGCCGCGUUCUGCGCGGUUCUGCCUUCUUGUCUAGGCGUCCGACGCCAAGCUCGUACCGAUCAUGGUAGAUGAACUCCGUCAGUUUAGGCUUGCACCUGGGCCGGCUUUCCGAGUGACCCCCUAACCAUAUUUAUU